GAGGAAUAAGCAUCGGCUAACUCCGUGCCAGCAGCCGCGGUAAUACGGGGGAUGCAAGCGUUAUCCGGAAUCAUUGGGCGUAAAGCGCCUGUAGGUUGUUUAAUAAGUCUGUUGUUAAAGACUAGGGCUUAACCCUAGGAAAGCAAUGGAAACUACUAGACUAGAGUAUGGUAGGGGUAGAGGGAAUUUCUAGUGUAGCGGUGAAAUGCGUAGAUAUUAGAAAGAACACCGGUGGCGAAGGCGCUCUACUGGACCAUUACUGACACUCAGAGGCGAAAGCUAGGGUAGCAAAAGGGAUUAGAUACCCCUGUAGUCCUAGCCGUAAACGAUGGAUACUAGAUGUUGCGUUUUUAUGCAGUAUCCUAGCUAACGCGUUAAGUAUCCCGCCUGGGGAGUACGCUCGCAAGGGUGAAACUCAAAGGAAUUGACGGGGGCCCGCACAAGCGGUGGAGCAUGUGGUUUAAUUCGAUGCAACGCGAAGAACCUUACCAAGGCUUGACAUACUACAGAUCCCUUUGAGAAAGGAGAGUGCCUUCGGGAAUGUAGAUACAGGUGGUGCAUGGCUGUCGUCAGCUCGUGUCGUGAGAUGUUGGGUUAAGUCCCGCAACGAGCGCAACCCUUAUUUUUAGUUACCAAUUUUUUGGGUUUUCUAGAGAGACUGCCGGUGACAAACCGGAGGAAGGUGAGGAUGACGUCAAGUCAGCAUGCCCCUUAUGCCUUGGGCUACACACGUGCUACAAUGGCUAAGACAAAGAGUUGCGAACUUGCGAAAGUCAGCUAAUCUCAUAAACUUAGCCUAAGUUCGGAUUGUAGGCUGCAACUCGCCUACAUGAAG
This 835-nucleotide ribosomal RNA is filed under the name Haptophyta environmental samples. Its description in RNAcentral is "bacterial SSU rRNA". It matches the Rfam family "Bacterial small subunit ribosomal RNA", at positions 481 to 1325 of the family's 1533-position model. The record is from RNAcentral. Lineage: Eukaryota; Haptophyta.